CUACGGGUCGCUCCAGUGGGGAAUAUUGGACAAUGGGGGAAACCCUGAUCCAGCAAUGCCGCGUGUGUGAAGAAGGCCUGCGGGUUGUAAAGCACUUUCGGUUGGGAGGACUGCUUCUAGCACUAAUAUUGUUGGAAGUUGACGUUACCUUCAGAAGAAGCACCGGCUAACUCCGUGCCAGCAGCCGCGGUGAAUACGGAGGGUGCAAGCGUUAAUCGGAAUUACUGGGCGUAAAGCGCGCGUAGGCGGCUAGAUCAGUCGGGUGUGAAAGCCCCGGGCUUAACCUGGGAACUGCAUCCGAUACUGUCUAGCUUGAGUACAGGAGAGGAGAGUGGAAUUCCACAUGUAGCGGUGAAAUGCGUAGAUAUGUGGAGGAACACCAAUGGCGAAGGCAGCUCUCUGGCCUGAUACUGACGCUGAGGUGCGAAAGCGUGGGGAGCAAACAGGAUUAGAUACCCCAGUAGUC
RNAcentral lists this ribosomal RNA (466 nucleotides) under uncultured bacterium. Its description in RNAcentral is "partial 16S ribosomal RNA". It matches the Rfam family "Bacterial small subunit ribosomal RNA", at positions 339 to 795 of the family's 1533-position model. The record is from RNAcentral.